This 403-nucleotide ribosomal RNA is filed under the name uncultured bacterium. RNAcentral describes it as "partial 16S ribosomal RNA". It matches the Rfam family "Bacterial small subunit ribosomal RNA", at positions 28 to 526 of the family's 1533-position model. The record is from RNAcentral.
GACGAACGCUGGCGGCGUGCCUAAUACAUGCAAGUCGAACGCAGUGGGGACGGGUGAGUAACACGUGGGUAACCUCCCAUCAGAGGGGAUAACACUUGGAAACAGGUGCUAAACCGAUACUGAUGGAUGGACCCGCGGUGCAUUAGCUAGUUGGUGAGGUAACGGCUCACCAAGGCCACGAGGCAUAGCCGACCUGAGAGGGUGAUCGGCCACACGGGGACUGAGACACGGCCCAGACGCCUACGGGAGGAAGGAGUAGGGAAGCGUCGGCAAUGGACGAAAGCCUGACCGAGUGACGCCGCGUGAGUGAAUAAGGUUUUAGGAUCGUAAGACUCUGUUGUUAGAGAAGCGGUAGCUAACCAGAAAGCCACGGCUAACUACGUGCCAGCAGCCGCGGUAAUAC